UACGUAGGGGGCGAGCGUUGUCCGGAUUUAUUGGGCGUAAAGAGCUCGUAGGCGGUUCGGUAAGUCGGAUGUGAAAUCUCCACGCUCAACGUGGAGGGGCCAUUCGAUACUGCCGUGACUCGAGUCCGGUAGGGGAGUGUGGAAUUCCCGGUGUAGCGGUGAAAUGCGCAGAGAUCGGGAGGAACACCCGUAGCGAAGGCGGCAGUCUGGGCCGGAACUGACGCUGAGGAGCGAAAGCGUGGGGAGCAAACAGG
This 254-nucleotide ribosomal RNA is filed under the name uncultured bacterium. RNAcentral describes it as "partial 16S ribosomal RNA". It matches the Rfam family "Bacterial small subunit ribosomal RNA", at positions 524 to 776 of the family's 1533-position model. The record is from RNAcentral.